CCUUGUGGUCAAACCUUGUGAAAGCCUGAUCUGGACAGAUCUCAGAAGUUAAGCAGGGCCGUGCCUUGUUAGUACUUUAGGUUAGGAUGGGAGAUCACUGGGAAUACCAGGUGCUACAGUCG
RNAcentral lists this ribosomal RNA (122 nucleotides) under Periophthalmus magnuspinnatus. The record is from RNAcentral. Lineage: Eukaryota; Metazoa; Chordata; Actinopteri; Gobiiformes; Gobiidae.